Molecule: ribosomal RNA, 468 nt
Filed under: uncultured bacterium
Lineage: Bacteria
Description: partial 16S ribosomal RNA
Rfam family: Bacterial small subunit ribosomal RNA
Source: RNAcentral
GACGAACGCUGGCGGCGUGCUUAACACAUGCAAGUCGAACGGAAAGGCCCUGCUUUUGUGGGGUGCUCGAGUGGCGAACGGGUGAGUAACACGUGAGUAACCUGCCCUUGACUGUGGGAUAACUUCAGGGAACUGGGGCUAAUACCGGAUAGGAGCUCCUGCUGCAUGGUGGGGGUUGGAAAGUUUCGGCGGUUGGGGAUGGACUCGCGGCUUAUCAGCUUGUUGGUGGGGUAGUGGCGUACCAAGGCUUUGACGGGUAGCCGACCUGAGAGGGUGACCGGGGACCUUGGGACUGCGAUAGGGAGCAGAAUCCUACGGGAGGCAGCAGUCGGGAAUAUUGCACAAUGGCGGGAAGCCAGAUGCAGCAACGCCGCGUGCGGGAUGACGGCCUUCGGGUUGUAAACAGCUUUCGCCUGUGACGAAGAGUGCGUGACGGUAAUUGGUCAAGAAGCACCGGCUAACUACGUG